UUCUCUGAUUCUAUAUCCUAUUUUCUAC
RNAcentral lists this small nuclear RNA (28 nucleotides) under Arabidopsis thaliana (thale cress). Its description in RNAcentral is "snRNA_02424". The record is from RNAcentral. Lineage: Eukaryota; Viridiplantae; Streptophyta; Magnoliopsida; Brassicales; Brassicaceae.